ACCCAUUUUAUUUUUCUUCUUCACCUCCGAAACCACCAAAAGCGAAGAGGGAAGCCAUUGUUUGAAGCUUUAAAGGUUCGGCCCUAUGCAUGGUAAGUUUAAAUUGAUCUGUUUUUCUUAAAUUUUAUAUUUUUAAGAUCAUGGUAGCUCGAUUUAGAUAACUCGUGUAUUAAAUUACAAAAUUAUUAAAGUUUACAAAAGUUACCAUUGUUGAAUCUUAAAGCUUUUGGUACUAAAUUGUUAGAUUUUAAGCUUAGAUUGAAAAAGAACUAGUUUUUAAAAUGAAAAAUGUUAGCUUUGAACUUAGGGACUAAAAUGCAAUAAUUUCAAUUUUGAUGUGAAAUUUUUAUAAAUAUAGUUAUUAGAGGAUUGUAGAAGGAUGGAAUUGAGAUUGAUUUUGCAAUCGAGGCUCAAAUUUUAAAAUUAUAGCUAUUUCAAUUUUAGGGACUAAAUUGAAUAAAUUACAGAACUUUAGGAAACUUUUGAAAAGUGAACUUGAAUUCACUUAUGGUUAUAAUAGAAUGUUAAAAUAUGUUUAGAAUUGAUAAAUUGUAAUGAAUUAUUAUAGAUCGGGAUUGGAAUCAACUGGAAGAUAAUUGAAGAAGACAAAAUUUUAGAUUAGUCUUUGAUGUCUUGUUAGUUGUUGUUUUUAUCAGGUAAGUUCAUGUGAGAGUUACUCUAUUAAUUGAUGACAUAUCUAUAUUAUAUAUAUUAUUUUUAGUUUAAUUUUUAUGUAUAGAAAAUGUUUGACAUAAAACAGGACUAAAUCGAAAUAUAUUAUACGAUAAAUAUGAAUGGAUACAUAAUAUCUAAUGGAUGUAAAAUUGUUAUACAAAGGGACAAUAUGUACAUGUUGAUACUGUAAUGUUUAAAAGGUAUAUGGAUUGUUAUUGUAACAUGACAAGUGUUUACAAUAGUAGAAACGGAAAUGAUACAAAUUCAACAAUAGGCCCGUGUGAAUUUAGUAAACAAUUGAGAUAGGAAUGUCAUGUCAUUAUGAUUCCAGAAAGGAAAAUGGGUGUUGUGAUCAGGGAUUAAUCUGAUGGUUGAGAUCUAGCAUAUGUUGUGGAUUCUCGACAGCUUGAGUGAAUAACAUCAAAUCUUUCUUAAUUGAUGGUUGAGAUCCAACACAUGUUGUGGAUUCUUGACAACUUGGGUGAGCAACAUCAAAUCUUUCUUUAUCAAUGGCUAAAAUCCAGUAUAUGUUGCGGGUUCCUGACAGCUUAAGUGAGUAACACCAAAUCUUUCUUAAUUGAUGGUUGAGAUCAAACACAUGUUGUGAAUUCUCGACAACUAGAGUGAGCAACAUCAAAUCUUUCUUUAUCAAUGGCCAAGAUCCAAUAUAUGUUGUGGAUUCUCGACAACUCAAGGGAGUAGCACUAAUUAAAGCUUCUAUAAAUAGAUCAGCUCUAUAGCUUGUGGGAGUAGAUUAAUCUCAUCUAUCUGAAGUUAAAUUACUAUAGUUCUCCAGACAGAAAACGAAAAUUAAAUGGUAAUAAAAUGAUUCAAUGUGGAUUCCCUUGAUAAGUGUAUAUAUUGAACAAUGUUAAAUAGUAUGAAGUAAAGUUGAACAAUGUUAAAUAGUAUGAAGUAAAGUAGUUUGGUUGUACAUGUAUGUGGAAAUUAAUACCAUAAUCUUGUUAUGUGCGAUAUUUACCUAUAGGUUGUCUUAUGGAAUGGUUUAUGAAUAGAUUUAUAAGGAUUCCAAGGAUAUGUCAUGCCUUUGUGCUACAAUUAUUUAAAUUGUUAUAAUGAGAAGGUAAGUAAGUUGAUUUUUUAUGAACUUACUAGGGAUACAUAAGGCUUACUCUGUUGUGUUUUCUUUGUUUGUAGUUGUCGUUUACUGGACGAGGAGAUCGGAUCACUUCGAAGCUCACACUAUCAAGCCUUUGAUUUGGCAGUCUUUUAAACAUUUUGGACUCGUUUAUGUGGCAUGUCUGUAGGUAUUGUUGUCGUCAUUAAUUGAAUUUGUUGAGAUUUAUGUCUUAAAGAGUUCAAUUAAACAUUUAUCAAAAAAGAUUGUAUACCUAUACAAUCAAUUUCUUCAAACCCACUCCACCGUCACAUCAAUAACACAUGUUCUACAGCUUCAACUUCGUUUAGCCAAUUUGGACAUAUAGAGAUCUCAUUCAACUUCCUCUUCCGUAGGUUAUCAUUAGUGGUAAUAUGGCUACCACAUGGUCUCUAAAUGAAGUCUUUCACCUUAUUAGGAAUGUCAAGUCCCAAAUUGAUUAACUCAGUUUUCAGAGUGUACAACCCCAUUUUCAAUUAUAGCCAACUUGACCUUAUCUUCCUCUUGGGCACAUAAAGGUAUAGCAUUAUUGAAAUGAGCUUAUCAACAGUAAUAAUAAUUUGAAUCUGCUGCAUAUUCGAAGUUUCUGUCUUAACAUAAAUUAUUUUAGAAACCUUUAUACAUAAACAAUUAUAAUAAAAAAA
Molecule: long non-coding RNA, 2436 nt
Filed under: Gossypium barbadense (sea-island cotton)
Lineage: Eukaryota; Viridiplantae; Streptophyta; Magnoliopsida; Malvales; Malvaceae
Description: long non-coding RNA (GBAR_LNC009731)
Source: RNAcentral